UACGGAGGGUGCAAACGUUGCUCGGAAUUACUGGGCGUAAAGAGUGUGUAGGCGGUGCUCUAAGUCUGUUGUGAAAUCUCCCGGCUUAACCGGGAGGGUGCGGCGGAAACUGGAGUGCUUGAGGGUGGGAGAGGUAAGCGGAAUUCCUGGUGUAGCGGUGAAAUGCGUAGAUAUCAGGAGGAACACCUGUGGUGUAGACAGCUUACUGGACCACUUCUGACGCUGAGACACGAAAGCGUGGGUAGCAAACAGG
This 253-nucleotide ribosomal RNA is filed under the name uncultured bacterium. RNAcentral describes it as "partial 16S ribosomal RNA". It matches the Rfam family "Bacterial small subunit ribosomal RNA", at positions 524 to 776 of the family's 1533-position model. The record is from RNAcentral.